GGAGGUUAGAGCUCAGUGGUAGAGCGUGUGCUUAUUAUGCAUGAGGUCCUGGGUUCAAUCCCCAGUACCUCCA
This 73-nucleotide transfer RNA is filed under the name Vicugna pacos (alpaca). Its description in RNAcentral is "tRNA-Asn (ATT) (tRNA-Asn-ATT-7-1)". It matches the Rfam family "tRNA". From Rfam's summary of the family: Transfer RNA (tRNA) molecules are approximately 80 nucleotides in length. Their secondary structure includes four short double-helical elements and three loops (D, anti-codon, and T loops). Lineage: Eukaryota; Metazoa; Chordata; Mammalia; Artiodactyla; Camelidae. The record is from RNAcentral.